Molecule: ribosomal RNA, 502 nt
Filed under: uncultured Lachnospiraceae bacterium
Lineage: Bacteria; Bacillati; Bacillota; Clostridia; Lachnospirales; Lachnospiraceae
Description: bacterial SSU rRNA
Rfam family: Bacterial small subunit ribosomal RNA
Source: RNAcentral
AGAGUUUGAUCCUGGCUCAGGAUGAACGCUGGCGGCGUGCUUAACACAUGCAAGUCGAACGAAGCACGGGGACGGAAGCCCUCCGGGGUGGAAGGCCGCGUGACUGAGUGGCGGACGGGUGAGUAACGCGUGGGUAACCUGCCCCAUACAGGGGGAUAACAGCCGGAAACGGCUGCUAAUACCGCAUGCACAUGCGGGGGCGCAUGCCCCUGGAUGGAAAGCUUUCGCGGUAUGGGAUGGGCCCGCGUCUGAUUAGGCAGUUGGCGGGGUAACGGCCCACCAAACCGACGAUCAGUAGCCGGCCUGAGAGGGCAACCGGCCACAUUGGGACUGAGACACGGCCCAAACUCCUACGGGAGGCAGCAGUGGGGAAUAUUGCACAAUGGGGGGGACCCUGAUGCAGCGACGCCGCGUGGGUGAAGGAGUAUUUCGGUAUGUAAAGCCCUAUCAGCAGGGAAGAACAAUGACGGUACCUGACUAAGAAGCACCGGCUAAAUACGUG